GCCUCCAUAGCUCAACUGGUAGAGCAGGACCCUCUUAAGGUCAAGGUUUCAGGUUCGAGCCCUGAUGGAGGCA
RNAcentral lists this transfer RNA (73 nucleotides) under Candidatus Staskawiczbacteria bacterium RIFCSPHIGHO2_01_FULL_41_41. Its description in RNAcentral is "tRNA-Lys". It matches the Rfam family "tRNA". From Rfam's summary of the family: Transfer RNA (tRNA) molecules are approximately 80 nucleotides in length. Their secondary structure includes four short double-helical elements and three loops (D, anti-codon, and T loops). Further hydrogen bonds mediate the characteristic L-shaped molecular structure. tRNAs have two regions of fundamental functional importance: the anti-codon, which is responsible for specific mRNA codon recognition, and the 3' end, to which the tRNAs corresponding amino acid is attached (by aminoacyl-tRNA synthetases). tRNAs cope with the degeneracy of the genetic code in two manners: having more than one tRNA (with a specific anti-codon) for a particular amino acid; and 'wobble' base-pairing, i.e. permitting non-standard base-pairing at the 3rd anti-codon position. RNAcentral also lists the same sequence under 2 other names. Lineage: Bacteria; Candidatus Staskawicziibacteriota. The record is from RNAcentral.